UCAAUACCUAAUAUUCUGUGACGACAAUAACUGCACUGUGGACAGUUGCAUAGAGGUUUUGUGAUACAGAAGUCGUUUCAAAGAGCAAUAAAUUUAAAUAUUUGAACACUCAAUCACAUAGUGUCAUAUCUACAUUUCUAAAGAUUUACUCAAGUCUUCAUUAUGAAAGUGAUUGACGACAAAUCAUGUUUUGGCGUUUAUGACCCUUGGAAAGAUGAUUGCGGACCUGGCUGCGAUUGUCAUGAUGUCCGCAUUGAUAGUACAACUUGCAUGAAGUGAAGAACAACUGUAGAUAUUAAUUAUACUUUGUUAGUAAAAUCAUCUUAGUUUAGUUAAUUUAUUUUUGUUGUUAUGCGAACUAUUCAGGGAAACAAUAAAAAACUUUAGUGAUGUGAUGAUUAAUUUUAUUUCACACAGUGAAUGUGUUACACCAAAAAAAAGGAACAGCAUAAAAUGCAUUGUUGAUUUACAGUAAUAAAUUACACGAUCAAUUGGAAACCAAAAGCUUGAAACAAUAGCUAUUACACUUUAGAUAACGGGCUAUGUUGUCAUUAUUAAAAAUAAACAGCAACAGUAUCAGUAGGUAAACGAUAACAACUGAAGAUGUAUGUUUUUUAUAACGUUUCAUGGACAUGAUCAUUUUUAAGAUUUCACAAAUAUGGCUUUGGCUCAUGUUAUGAAAUGACUUAUUAUAUUCUACAUAUAGAUACGAUGAUAAACAAAUACUUAAAUCACAUUAAUUGAGACACAGCCACUUCAUCUUCAGUUCAUUUAGUCUUCACAGCUUGCUCUUGAGCACGAAGAUUCUUUCAUUCAUUUAACAGUCAAAUGAAGGAUUUGGCCUACUUUCUCAGAUAUCUUGGGGAGGAUUACUUACAGUAUUUAAAUGAACAGAAAUAGACGCCGAAAACAUCCAAAAAAAGCCCUUUUUACACACAUUUUACAUCACGUAUGUACGAAUUUGGAGGAGCUGUGUCUCUUUUGUUGUCCUAAACACUAAAUACAUAACUAUCAUACAGUUGUAUUUGAGCCAUUAUCCCCUACUUUUUGGGGGCUGCGCAGGAGUCGCCG
This is a long non-coding RNA of Ostrinia nubilalis (European corn borer), 1071 nucleotides long. RefSeq lists it as uncharacterized. The transcript has 3 exons. The record is from RefSeq and is a predicted model, not a curated record. NCBI's taxonomy places the organism in Eukaryota, Metazoa, Arthropoda, Insecta, Lepidoptera, Crambidae.